AUGAACGCUGGCGGCGUGCCUAAUACAUGCAAGUCGAACGCUGGAGAUCUAGCUUGCUAGAUCGAAGGAGUGGCGAACGGGUGAGUAAUACAUAAGCAACCUACCCACGAAGACUGGGAUAAUCUCUGGAAACGGGGACUAAUACCGGAUAGGUAAUCGGAAGGCAUCUUCUGGUUAUUAAAGGUUAAAAACACUGGUGGAUGGGCUUAUGGCGCAUUAGUUAGUUGGUGAGGUAACGGCCCACCAAGACGAUGAUGCGUAGCCGGCCUGAGAGGGUGAAGGGCAACAGUGGGAGGGAGACCCGGCCAAGACUCAUGGGGGAGGAAGAAGAAGGGAAUUGUGGGAAGGGGGGGCAACCCGGACAGGGCAGCGCCGGGGGAGAAAAGCCGGCCUUCGGGUUGAAAGGCUUUGUUGAAAGAAAAAAAGGGUAAAAAGAAAAUAUCUAAGUGACGGUACCUAACAAGAAAGCCACGGCUAACUACGUG
This 485-nucleotide ribosomal RNA is filed under the name uncultured bacterium. RNAcentral describes it as "partial 16S ribosomal RNA". It matches the Rfam family "Bacterial small subunit ribosomal RNA", at positions 30 to 507 of the family's 1533-position model. The record is from RNAcentral.